RNAcentral lists this transfer RNA (72 nucleotides) under Camelus bactrianus (Bactrian camel). It matches the Rfam family "tRNA". Rfam says of the family: Transfer RNA (tRNA) molecules are approximately 80 nucleotides in length. RNAcentral also lists the same sequence under 3 other names. The record is from Rfam by way of RNAcentral. Lineage: Eukaryota; Metazoa; Chordata; Mammalia; Artiodactyla; Camelidae.
GGGGGUAUGGCUCAGUGGUAGAGUGUGUGCUUAGCAUGUGUGAGGUCUUGGGUUCAAUAUUCAGUACCUCCA